GGCUCAGAUUGAACGCUGGCGGCAUGCCUUACACAUGCAAGUCGAACGGCAGCACGGGAGCUUGCUCCUGGUGGCGAGUGGCGAACGGGUGAGUAAUACAUCGGAACGUACCCUGAAGUGGGGGAUAACGUAGCGAAAGUUACGCUAAUACCGCAUAUUCUGUGAGCAGGAAAGAGGGGGGAUCGCAAGACCUCUUGCUUUAGGAGCGGCCGAUGUCGGAUUAGCUAGUUGGUGAGGUAAAGGCUCACCAAGGCGACGAUCCGUAGCGGGUCUGAGAGGAUGAUCCGCCACACUGGGACUGAGACACGGCCCAGACUCCUACGGGAGGCAGCAGUGGGGAAUUUUGGACAAUGGGCGCAAGCCUGAUCCAGCCAUGCCGCGUGAGUGAAGAAGGCCUUCGGGUUGUAAAGCUCUUUCGGUGGGGAAGAAAUUGCACAGGAUAAUACCUUGUGUAGAUGACGGUACCCGCAUAAGAAGCACCGGCUAACUACGUG
This 494-nucleotide ribosomal RNA is filed under the name uncultured bacterium. RNAcentral's name for it is "bacterial SSU rRNA". It matches the Rfam family "Bacterial small subunit ribosomal RNA", at positions 21 to 507 of the family's 1533-position model. The record is from RNAcentral.